This 468-nucleotide ribosomal RNA is filed under the name uncultured bacterium. Its description in RNAcentral is "partial 16S ribosomal RNA". It matches the Rfam family "Bacterial small subunit ribosomal RNA", at positions 28 to 507 of the family's 1533-position model. The record is from RNAcentral.
GACGAACGCUGGCGGCGUGCUUAACACAUGCAAGUCGAACGGAAAGGCCCUGCUUUUGUGGGGUGCUCGAGUGGCGAACGGGGGAGUAACACGUGAGUAACCUGCCCUUGACUUUGGGAUAACUUCAGGAAACUGGGGCUACUACCGGAUAGGAGAUCCUGUAGCAUGGAGGGGGUGGGAAAGUUUCGGCGGUUGGGGAUGGAUUGGCGGGUAAUGAGCUUGUUGGUUGGGUGGGGGCUUACCAAGUCAGUGGCGGGUAGCCGGCCUGGGAGGGGGGCCGCCGACAUUGGGCCUGCGAGACGCCGCAGUCGCGAACGGGAGGCAGCGGUGGGGAGUAUUGCACAGUGGGCCGGAGUCUGAUGAAGAGGCGCCGCGGGCGUAAUGACGGCCUUCGGGUUGUAAACCGCUUUCGCCUGUGACGAAGCGUGAGUGACGGUAAUGGAUAAAGAAGCACCGGCUAACUACGUG